RNAcentral lists this ribosomal RNA (528 nucleotides) under uncultured Oscillibacter sp. RNAcentral's name for it is "bacterial SSU rRNA". It matches the Rfam family "Bacterial small subunit ribosomal RNA", at positions 1 to 507 of the family's 1533-position model. Lineage: Bacteria; Bacillati; Bacillota; Clostridia; Eubacteriales; Oscillospiraceae. The record is from RNAcentral.
GGUUACACGUUCUACGAGUAGUUAGUUCGUACUCCGUACGGCACGAGACGACGCUGGCGGCGUGCUUAACACAUGCAAGUCGAACGGAGUGCCUCGGAAAGAGAUUUCGGUCAAUGGAAGAGGGUUACUUAGUGGCGGACGGGUGAGUAACGCGUGAGGAACCUGCCUUUCAGAGGGGGACAACAGCUGGAAACGGCUGCUAAUACCGCAUAACAUAUAGGUAUCGCAUGGUAUUUAUAUCAAAGAUUUAUCGCUGAAAGAUGGCCUCGCGUCUGAUUAGCUAGUUGGUAGGGUAACGGCCUACCAAGGCGACGAUCAGUAGCCGGACUGAGAGGUUGGCCGGCCACAUUGGGACUGAGAUACGGCCCAGACUCCUACGGGAGGCAGCAGUGGGGGAAUAUUGGGCAAUGGGCGCAAGCCUGACCCAGCAACGCCGCGUGAAGGAAGAAGGCUUUCGGGUUGUAAACUUCUUUUAAGAGGGAAGAGUAGAAGACGGUACCUCUUGAAUAAGCCACGGCUAACUACGUG